GAGUGAAGCGGCAACAGCUCAAAUUUGAAAUCUGGCUUCGGCCCGAGUUGUAAUUUGCAGAGGAAGCUUUAGGCGCGGCACCUUCUGAGUCCCCUGGAACGGGGCGCCAUAGAGGGUGAGAGCCCCGUAUAGUUGGAUGCCUAGCCUGUGUAAAGCUCCUUCGACGAGUCGAGUAGUUUGGGAAUGCUGCUCAAAAUGGGAGGUAAAUUUCUUCUAAAGCUAAAUACCGGCCAGAGACCGAUAGCGCACAAGUAGAGUGAUCGAAAGAUGAAAAGCACUUUGAAAAGAGGGUUAAACAGCACGUGAAAUUGUUGAAAGGGAAGCGCUUGUGACCAGACUUGCGCCAGGCUGAUCAUCCGGUGUUCUCACCGGUGCACUCGGCCCGGCACAGGCCAGCAUCGGUUCUCGCGGGGGGAUAAAGGUCUCGGGAACGUAGCUCCUCCGGGAGUGUUAUAGCCCGGGGCGUAAUGCCCUCGCGGGGACCGAGGUUCGCGCAUCUGCAAGGAUGCUGGCGUAAUGGUCAUCAGCGACCCGUCUUGAAACACGGACCAAGGAGUCAAGGUUUUGCGCGAGUGUUUGGGUGUCAAACCCGCACGCGUAAUGAAAGUGAACGUAGGUGAGAGCUUCGGCGCAUCAUCGACCGAUCCUGAUGUUUUCGGAUGGAUUUGAGUAGGAGCGUUAAGCCUUGGACCCGAAAGAUGGUGAACUAUGCUUGGAUAGGGUGAAGCCAGAGGAAACUCUGGUGGAGGCUCGCAGCGGUUCUGACGUGCAAAUCGAUCGUCAAAUCUGAGCAUGGGGGCGAAAGACUAAUCGAACCAUCUAGUAGCUGGUUACCGCCGAA
Molecule: ribosomal RNA, 841 nt
Filed under: Dichotomopilus funicola
Lineage: Eukaryota; Fungi; Ascomycota; Sordariomycetes; Sordariales; Chaetomiaceae
Description: LSU rRNA
Rfam family: Eukaryotic large subunit ribosomal RNA
Source: RNAcentral